GACGAACCGUGCGAACGUUAUUCGGAAUCACUGGGCUUAAAGCGCGUGUAGGCGGGACGGCACGUCGGCCGCUGAAAUCCCCCGGCUCAACCGGGGAAGGGGCGCCGAUACGACCGCCCUGGAGGGACGUAGGGGGACCUGGAACUUCCGGUGGAGCGGUGAAAUGCGUUGAGAUCGGAAGGAACGCCCGUGGCGAAAGCGAGGUCCUGGACGUUUUCUGACGCUGAGGAGCGAAGGCGUGGGGAGCGAACAGG
RNAcentral lists this ribosomal RNA (254 nucleotides) under uncultured bacterium. RNAcentral describes it as "partial 16S ribosomal RNA". It matches the Rfam family "Bacterial small subunit ribosomal RNA", at positions 524 to 776 of the family's 1533-position model. The record is from RNAcentral.